CUAAACUAAUUCUAUAUUUGUUAAAGGUGUGUAUAAACAUGUCAAUUUUGCCCAAUAUGUCUUGACAUUUUGUAAGAUGCAAAAAAAAAAAAAAAAAAUUGGUGACUUCGUUUAAUCAUUAUCAUAAGAGUGAAGUUUUAUUCUGGUCUCUAAUGAAAAAAAAUAUGGAACAGUUAGUCUCUAAACAAAAAUUCAUAGACAAAUUCAGUGAUUACAUAGACAGUUAAAUCGACUGUGAAUAUUUAGUAGGAGACAUUGUGGCACUGUAACAAAAAAAAUGAAAGGGUAUAAGUAAGUCCCACACAAAACUUGAUCCGGCUGAGCUGAAAUGUAAACUAGACGCAGCAAUUUACCAUCAAUAAGGAUGUUAUGGAGUAGGGAUGUACAUUCGGAAUCAGAAAGGGGAAUUCGUCAAACCCAAUACUAUUUGGAUUUUGGAAGGAGGCAUCUAUUCCAUUUCUGUAGGCUGAUGCUUUAGGAUUAUAUGAAGCCUUACUAUGGCUAAGUGAGUUGGGUUGCAAAACUUUUAGUUUCAUUAGGUAGCAAACAAAUCUUGUAGCUCACACCCUUGCAAGAACGUCUAAUUUUAAUUUUCCAAGUUUUUAAUUUUAGCCUAAUCUAUAUUAUGAAUACUUUCUUGAAUGGAAUUUAUUAUGAAUAUUGUAAAAAAAUAUAUAUAAAAAAAAGUGUUUGUAUGUAACAAUUCUUUUAUUUUUCGUAGAGAUUGUA
This 729-nucleotide long non-coding RNA is filed under the name Medicago truncatula (barrel medic). RNAcentral's name for it is "long non-coding RNA (MTRU_LNC002604)". The record is from RNAcentral. Lineage: Eukaryota; Viridiplantae; Streptophyta; Magnoliopsida; Fabales; Fabaceae.